Molecule: ribosomal RNA, 468 nt
Filed under: uncultured bacterium
Lineage: Bacteria
Description: partial 16S ribosomal RNA
Rfam family: Bacterial small subunit ribosomal RNA
Source: RNAcentral
GACGAACGCUGGCGGCGUGCUUAACACAUGCAAGUCGAACGGAAAGGCCCUGCUUUUGUGGGGUGCUCGAGUGGCGAACGGGUGAGUAACACGUGAGUAACCUGCCCUUGACUUUGGGAUAACUUCAGGAAACUGGGGCUAAUACCGGAUAGGAGCUCCUGCUGCAUGGUGGGGGUUGGAAAGUUUCGGCGGUUGGGGAUGGACUCGCGGCUUAUCAGCUUGUUGGUGGGGUAGUGGCUUACCAAGGCAUUGACGGGUAGCCGGCCUGAGAGGGUUACCGGCCACAUUGGGACUGAGAUACGGCCCAGACUCCUACGGGAGGCAGCAGUGGGGAAUAUUGCACAAUGGGCGGAAGCCUGAUGCAGCAACGCCGCGUGCGGGAUGACGGCCUUCGGGUUGUAAACCGCUUUCGCCUGUGACGAAGCGUGAGUGACGGUAAUGGGUAAAGAAGCACCGGCUAACUACGUG